CAAAUUAUCUACAACUCACAUUGUUUCUUUUCUUCAAUCCAAUUCAAUUCAAUUCAAUUCAUCUAUAGAAAUAGAAAUGGCCUCCAACUCCAACACAAGCCCGCACCAUUCUGGAAAUUCGUCAGUGAAAUUCGACAAGGAUGCGCGAACAAAGGUGAUUCCACCUAAAGACCUCAACAUUGUAUGGGGCAACGACACCCGCUACUGGAACGUAAAGUGAGUAGUCCAUCCAUCGUUUUUAAUUAAAUGAAUAUAUAUAUAUAUAUAUAUUAAUUAAUGUGUGUUUUUGAUUUAGUGAUGUGGCGGAAUUGCAUCAAGUGAGCUGGCUAGAGGUGACCGGCGGCGUGGAGGGAGCCUCGGCGGCGAAGAGCUACGAAGUAGGGUUUUCCGUGUCGUUGAAUCCAGAUGCAUUUGGGUGGGGAAAGUAUCCCAUUUAUAUCAUGAUUAAGAGAGGGAAGGAAGAGAAGGUUUCGUGGACUAAGAUUUCGAUAAACCCUAAUCACCAGAAAACCCCGUUUGAGAUUAGAGGGAGGUUGCUCAAAUCUGAUCAUUCCACCGACAUUGGGAAGCUCAGCUUCGGAUUGUACGAGGUUUGGAGUGGCAAGUGGAAGGGAGGNCCUUUAAUUCUGGAGUCAGUGGUGGGUUGGACAAAAGCCGUUGAAGUUUACUUUUCCUAGACUUUUUCAGUUGAGUGCUAAUAAAGAAGCUGCAAUCUGUGAAGUUGGGGAACGGACUGAUUCUGGAUGGUGUUGGGAUUUAAGGUGGAGAAGAGAGCUAUUUGAGAGAGAGGGAAGGAGUUUCGGAGUUGCUUAGCCUUGUUUCUGGUACUAAUCUGUGUGCAGGUAACAAGGACGGAUGGACAUGGAGUGGCGACAUCGGGAGAGGCUUUACAACCAAGUCCGCUUAUGAAGCUUGACUCAUCCAAAAACACCUAACGGAUGGACUCGAAUUUAUACGAGGUCGUCCUAGGGUGGUAAGGUGACUCAAGUCGUCUCACAAGGAAGACUUAGCAGGGCUCUAAUCGUAUUGCUCACAAGAAACUUAAAAGAAAUCUAAACACUCUAAUCGGGUAAUUGGGUCUGACACUUUCUCUCCGAUUAACUAAUGCGUAAUUAAAAUAAAGCAUAUAAAGUUAACUAGGCAAAAGAUAGGAAGCCAAUAAGAACGCAAGAAGGAAAACAAAGCUAAGGUUCUAAACUAGCAAUCUAGAAAGCAAUCAUCAAUUCAACACCAUAAACAACGAUUAUCUAGGCGAAAUAACACAUUAACAUUUAAUCAAAUGAAUGUUAAGCAAACACACACAAUCCAAGAGAAUUCCGCAAGCAACUCAACGACGAACUAACUAGAACAUGGUAUUUGAACAUUAACGAAAUCAACAAGAGUUUCCAACUCCAACACUAAACCAAACGAUCAUAAACUUGUAAACAUCAAAGAUUAAUAACUACCUAGGCAAGAAACUAAAUCAAGCAUAAGAUUCGAAUGCAAAGAAAAUCUUAAUCUCCAAUCAUCACAUUCAUCAAAGCAUAAAACACAAAACUUAAUUAACCAAAAGAUUCAUAUAACCAAGAAAAUAUAGCAUCAACAACAAUGAUCUUCAAUCAUCAUAUUCAUCAAAGACAUGAAACAAAAACUCAAAUAACCAAGGGAUUCAUAAACAAAGAGAAUCAAAGGGAGUUCUUACAAACAUAGCAAUCCAGGAAACCAAUCCGAUGAAGUGUUAAUUGACAUCCAAAGCAAUCCAAUGAAUCCACAAUCGAAAGUAAUUGAUUUGAAACUCUAAAAACCCAAGGAAAAAUGUGGAAAUCGCCCUUGGAGGCUGCUGGGUCGAGAAGUGAUAAAGUGAAACCCUAGAAAGGGGUUUUUAAACGAAAAAGUGUACUGUCGGAUCUGCACAGAGGCGGCGGCGCCGUGAGCGCCAUUCGCAGUUUCCUCCAAAAUCAAGCACGGCCCGCGCCGUAGAGCCGCGGCCGCCGUCUCUGCGGCGGCGGCCGUGGCACGGCGGCGGCCGUGAGGUUGUCUUCGAAAAUUGCUCCGAUCGAUGCUAAAAACACUUGACAACUCUCGAUUCCUGCACACGACAGUAAUCUAUCCAAAAAGGUCAUCGAGCACGUGAAAUAUAAGGCAAAAAGUCCUGAAACAUGCUCGAAUGCACAACAAAAAUAUACGCAAAAACUGCCCAAAUACGAGGUAAACAAAGCUAUUAAAGAUCAAGCAAACGAGACUACGGAGGCGGUGGAGAAAACUGAUAUGAGUACGAAGGUGUGGAAGAUCCCUAUUCCAAACAAAGUCAAGCUUACCGCAUGGAGAAUUUUGAAGAACAGAAUUCCGACGUGUGACAAUCUCUCGAGAAGAAAUGUGAUGUUGUGUGAAGUUGAGGUGGGAUGUAACGCCUGUUUUCAUCGGCAGGAAUCCACGAACCACUUGUUGAUCCACUGUCCAAAGACCUCAAAGGUAUGGGAAGCAAUCUUUCAAUGGCUCGGAGUUAGCAUGGCGCAGCCAUAUGACGUGUCCUCGCACUUUCAGUUCUUUACUAGUUUGAGUGGCCGGAAAAGAAAUAAGAAGCUCUUGAUGGCUCUUUGGUGUUGUACUACUUGGCUUAUUUGGAAAAUGCGUAAUGAGAGUAGAUUUGAGAACAAAAUAUGGGAGAGUGCAAACUUGUUUGGAGAAAUCAAAGCUAGAGUGUGGAGUUGGGGUAGAAUUUUUGGUUUUGUUAAUGAUGGAGUUGGGAUUCAUAGGUGGAUGUCGAAUGAUGAAUCACCGAUGAUUUUGUAAUCUUCUUGGUACUACUGGUGUCUUUUCGUUCUAUAAUAUUUACUUUCCUUAUCAAAAAAAAAAAAAAUAGAGGAGGAAGUCACUGCAUUCGGUACCAUUUACCCAAAGCAAAAUACAAGUAUUGAAGAGCAGAUUCUUAUUAUGUGGGAGCAACAAAAUAUACAGCUAAUACAUGCACGUAAACGUAUUAUUAAUUGAUGAAAUAUCUAAAACGAUUCCAGCCAACCAGGGGGCUUAGCCCACUGGCCACCGGGUCCUCACUUAAGUGAAGUGACCCGGGUUCGAUCCCUCUUGGGAACGAAUUGGUGAUUGGAGAUAUAAGGUGGAGUUUGGUGAAUGGAGAGAUAAGGUGGUUCUUGGAGUGGAUGGGGAACUAACUACUAACAUCUAACAUGACUUUGACCGAUCAAAAAAAAAAAAAAAAAAUACUAAAACGAUUCCAGCCGACUAAGUUUACUUACGUAGCGUUGUGACAUGCUUAGUUGGAAUUUUAAAGUAGUCCAAGUUUGGAGGCCACUUCUCUUUUCCCACGCGCACAUUUUAUUCGAUAUAAUCCAAACGCUUGCCAAUCUUUGCCUUAAGCAUUUAUUCCUUUUUACAUUAACUUUCGCCGUUUUUCCAGAAAAGGAUAAAAGUAAAGAUACUCUUAUAAGUAUAAAUAUGAGGGGCAGCCAUCAAAUUAUCUACAACUCACAUUGUUUCUUUUCUUCAAUCCAAUUCAAUUCAAUUCAUACUAAUAGAAAUAGAAAUGGCCUCCAACUCCAACACAAGCCCGCACCAUUCUGGGAAUUCGUCAGCGAAAUUCAACAAGGAUGAACGAACAAAGGUGAUUCUACCUAAAGACCUCAACAUUGUAUGGGGCAACGACACCCGCUACUGGAACGUAAAGUGAGUAGUCCAUCCAUCGUUUUUAAUUAAAUCAAUAUAUAUAUAUAUAUAUAUUAAUUAAUGUGUGUUUUUGAUUUAGUGAUGUGGCGGAAUUGCAUCAAGUGAGCUGGCUAGAGGUGACCGGCGGCGUGGAGGGAGCCUCGGCGGCGAAGAGCUACGAAGUAGGGUUUCGCGUGUCGUUGAAUCCAGAUGCAUUUGGGUGGGGAAAGUAUCCCAUUUAUAUCAUGAUUAAGAGAGGGAAGGAAGAGAAGGUUUCGUGGACUAAGAUUUCGAUAAACCCUAAUCACCAGAAAACCCCGUUUGAGAUUAGAGGGAGGUUGCUCAAAUCUGAUCAUUCCACCGACAUUGGGAAGCUCAGCUUCGGAUUGUACGAGGUUUGGAGUGGCAAGUGGAAGGGAGGUCUCAAGAUUCACAAUGCAUUUGUCAACCAGUUAUGAUUCAUUUCAUUUUUAUACUAUCUUUUAUCGUGCUAUUUAUUUCAUUUAAUUUGAGAAUAUCUGUACCUUCCUAUACAGAUCGAUACUAUUGUUAUGUAAUUUUCGGAUAUCUAAUAAAAAAAGACUGAGUGUGAUUGUU
RNAcentral lists this long non-coding RNA (4236 nucleotides) under Salvia miltiorrhiza (redroot sage). Its description in RNAcentral is "long non-coding RNA (SMIL_LNC006536)". Lineage: Eukaryota; Viridiplantae; Streptophyta; Magnoliopsida; Lamiales; Lamiaceae. The record is from RNAcentral.